CUACGGGUCGCUGCAGCCGAGAAUAUUCGUCAAUGGGCGCAAGCCUGAACGAGCGACGCCGCGUGCAGGAAGAAGGUUUUCGGAUUGUAAACUGCUUUUCUAUGGGAAGAAUUCUGACGGUACCAUAGGAAUAAGGAGCUGCAAACUACGUGCCAGCAGCCGCGGUAAUAUGUAGGCUCCAAGCAUUAUCCGGAUUUAUUGGGUGUAAAGGGUGUGUAGGGGGUUAUGUGCGUCUCUUGUAAAAUCUUACUGCUUAACAGUAGGUCCGCAGGGGAUACGGCAUAACUAGAGUGUGCGAGAGGUCUGUGGAACGCAUAGUGUAGGGGUAAAAUCCGUUGAUAUUAUGCGGAACACCGAAGGCGAAGGCAGCAGACUGGCGCAUUACUGACCCUGAGGCACGAAAGCGUGGGGAGCAAAAAGGAUUAGAUACCCCGGUAGUC
RNAcentral lists this ribosomal RNA (440 nucleotides) under uncultured bacterium. RNAcentral describes it as "partial 16S ribosomal RNA". It matches the Rfam family "Bacterial small subunit ribosomal RNA", at positions 339 to 795 of the family's 1533-position model. The record is from RNAcentral.